UACGUAGGCAGCGAGCGUUGUUCGGAGUUACUGGGCGUAAAGAGUGCGUAGGCGGUUUUCUAAGUUUGGUGUGAAAUCUCCCGGCUUAACUGGGAGGGUGCGCCGAAAACUGGAAGGCUUGAGUAUGGGAGAGGUAAGCGGGAUUCCUGGUGUAGCGGUGAAAUGCGUAGAUAUCAGGAGGAACACCUGCGGUGUAGACGGCUUACUGGACCAUAACUGACGCUGAGGCACGAAAGCGUGGGUAGCAAACAGG
This 253-nucleotide ribosomal RNA is filed under the name uncultured bacterium. RNAcentral describes it as "partial 16S ribosomal RNA". It matches the Rfam family "Bacterial small subunit ribosomal RNA", at positions 524 to 776 of the family's 1533-position model. The record is from RNAcentral.